RNAcentral lists this ribosomal RNA (169 nucleotides) under uncultured bacterium. RNAcentral's name for it is "partial 16S ribosomal RNA". It matches the Rfam family "Bacterial small subunit ribosomal RNA", at positions 338 to 524 of the family's 1533-position model. The record is from RNAcentral.
CCUACGGGAGGCAGCAGUGGGGAAUCUUGGACAAUGGGCGCAAGCCUGAUCCAGCCAUGCCGCGUGAGUGAUGAAGGCCCUAGGGUCGUAAAGCUCUUUCGCCUGGGAAGAUAAUGACGGUAGCUGGUAAAGAAACCCCGGCUAACUCCGUGCCAGCAGCCGCGGUAAU